AUCUAUUUCCAAGAUGAGGAAGGGACCUUUCUUAAG
This 36-nucleotide small RNA is filed under the name Acididesulfobacillus acetoxydans. RNAcentral's name for it is "CRISPR spacer". Lineage: Bacteria; Bacillati; Bacillota; Clostridia; Eubacteriales; Peptococcaceae. The record is from RNAcentral.